GAUGAACGCUGGCGGCGUGCUUAACACAUGCGAGUCGAACGGAAAGGCCACAGCUUGCUGUGGUACUCGAGUGGCGAACGGGUGAGUAACACGUGGGUGAUCUGCCCUGUACUUCGGGAUAAGCUUGGGAAACUGGGUCUAAUACCGGAUAGGAAUCACAUGUGGGUGUGUGGUUGGAAAGCUUUUGCGGUAUGGGAUGAGCUCGCGGCCUAUCAGCUUGUUGGUGGGGUAAUGGCCUACCAAGGCGUCGACGGGUAGCCGGCCUGAGAGGGUGUACGGCCACAUUGGGACUGAGAUACGGCCCAGACUCCUACGGGAGGCAGCAGUGGGGAAUAUUGCACAAUGGGCGCAAGCCUGAUGCAGCGACGCCGCGUGGGGGAUGACGGCCUUCGGGUUGUAAACUCCUUUCGUCAGGGACGAAGCGAAAGUGACGGUACCUGGAGAAGAAGCACCGGCUAACUACGUG
This 466-nucleotide ribosomal RNA is filed under the name uncultured bacterium. RNAcentral's name for it is "partial 16S ribosomal RNA". It matches the Rfam family "Bacterial small subunit ribosomal RNA", at positions 28 to 507 of the family's 1533-position model. The record is from RNAcentral.